CUAACAAUUAAAUCAAUAAUUUCCAAGAGCUUUGAGCACAAUGUGUGGUCAUUUCACAUUACAUUUUCAUCAGGUAAAUCUUGUAAAUGCCUGUUUUCCCUCAGGUCCUUGCUUUUGGAGACAGUGCCUGGCUUGAUUAAGUUGAAUAAUGAGCAGACUGCUGCUGCUGCAGUGCCCCAUAAAUGUCCAGAACAGCAGUGGCGUUUCCAGGCCCUCUGUCAAGCACAACAAGAGUGACAAGAUUCACUUCUCCAGCAGCAAAAGAUGGAGAUCAGAGCGGCAGCUGUGGCGAUCCAGCGAUGUUGGCGGAGGAGAUGCGUAUUGCAGAGACGUGAGGGCCUCCCAGGCUUAAUUGAAAAAACUAACACAAAAUCACAUUUUGAUAAGGUGGAAGAUACCUGCAUUGGGGGGCCUGAGAGAGAACGUGCUGCUGUUGUUAUUCAGAAAGCAGUGGAGAAAGCCUGGAUAACCUUGGAUUCCAAAGCCUUACCGGCCAAGAUGAUGCCAUUUUCAGAACAGCUGCCAUUGCCAAAGGUAACAGCCCUACGGACCCUCCUUCUGUCUGUGGGCCAGGACAAUCAGAGUCUCUCUGGGUGA
This 597-nucleotide long non-coding RNA is filed under the name Carassius auratus (goldfish). RNAcentral describes it as "lncRNA (ENSCARG00000050773.1)". The record is from RNAcentral. Lineage: Eukaryota; Metazoa; Chordata; Actinopteri; Cypriniformes; Cyprinidae.